Molecule: long non-coding RNA, 409 nt
Filed under: Urocitellus parryii (Arctic ground squirrel)
Lineage: Eukaryota; Metazoa; Chordata; Mammalia; Rodentia; Sciuridae
Description: lncRNA (ENSUPAG00010019309.1)
Source: RNAcentral
GCUAGAUUGGUGUUCACAGGCUGGGGUGUAGAAAAAAAUUGGUGACGCCAUACCAAGACCCCGCCCCCUUCUUUGGAGCGGAGAGACUUCUACUGCGGAAGCUCGGGCCAAUCAGGAGGAAGGCCCCAGGAUGGCUUGGUGAUGGGGACGCGGCCGAGAGGGCCUCCUGGUCAGGAUUCCUCCCAGGUGCUGCGGAUGGAGGCGUGGGGUAGCCUUGGAACCCCAUAGACUAGUUUCGAAUCUCAGCUCUGCCAGUUAUUAGCCUGUGACUUUGAGUAAGUGUUUUUAACCAUCUUAAACUCUUUUCCUCUUAUGUAAAAUGGAAACACAGCCUAUAGUGCCACUUCAUGGAAUUAUAGUGAGAACUGAAAGAAACAAUGUAUAUUAUUAAGUGCUGAACAGGGUGCUU